ACGGAAGGCAGCAGCUAAGAAUAUUCCGCAAUGGACGAAAGUCUGACGGAGCGACGCCGCGUGGAUGAUGAAGGCCGGAAGGUUGUAAAAUCCUUUUAUGACUGAGGAAUAAGUGGAGUGAGAGAAACGCUUCAUGGUGACUGUAGGUCAUGAAUAAGCAACGGCUAAUUACGUGCCAGCAGCCGCGGUAACACGUAAGUUGCGAGCGUUGUUCGGAAUUAUUGGGCGUAAAGGGCAUGUAGGCGGUUUUGCAAGCUUGAUGUGAAAGGCAGGAGCUUAACUCCUGGACUGCGUUGAGAACUGCAUGACUAGAGUCACUGAGGGGCAAUCAGAAUUCCUGGUGUAGGGGUGAAAUCUGUAGAUAUCAGGAAGAAUACCAAUGGCGAAGGCAGGUUACCAGCAGAUGACUGACGCUGAGGUGCGAAGGUGCGGGGAGCAAACAGGAUUAGAUACCCUGGUA
This 460-nucleotide ribosomal RNA is filed under the name uncultured Treponema sp. RNAcentral's name for it is "partial 16S ribosomal RNA". It matches the Rfam family "Bacterial small subunit ribosomal RNA", at positions 341 to 792 of the family's 1533-position model. Lineage: Bacteria; Pseudomonadati; Spirochaetota; Spirochaetia; Treponematales; Treponemataceae. The record is from RNAcentral.